Molecule: ribosomal RNA, 2023 nt
Filed under: Pseudomonas aeruginosa
Lineage: Bacteria; Pseudomonadati; Pseudomonadota; Gammaproteobacteria; Pseudomonadales; Pseudomonadaceae
Description: bacterial LSU rRNA
Rfam family: Bacterial large subunit ribosomal RNA
Source: RNAcentral
GGGGGCAUCCCGACUUACCAAACCGAUGCAAACUCCGAAUACCCAGAAGUGCCGAGCAUGGGAGACACACGGCGGGUGCUAACGUCCGUCGUGAAAAGGGAAACAACCCAGACCGCCAGCUAAGGUCCCAAAGUUGUGGUUAAGUGGUAAACGAUGUGGGAAGGCUUAGACAGCUAGGAGGUUGGCUUAGAAGCAGCCACCCUUUAAAGAAAGCGUAAUAGCUCACUAGUCGAGUCGGCCUGCGCGGAAGAUGUAACGGGGCUCAAACCACACACCGAAGCUGCGGGUGUCACGCAAGUGACGCGGUAGAGGAGCGUUCUGUAAGCCUGUGAAGGUGAGUUGAGAAGCUUGCUGGAGGUAUCAGAAGUGCGAAUGCUGACAUGAGUAACGACAAUGGGUGUGAAAAACACCCACGCCGAAAGACCAAGGGUUCCUGCGCAACGUUAAUCGACGCAGGGUUAGUCGGUUCCUAAGGCGAGGCUGAAAAGCGUAGUCGAUGGGAAACAGGUUAAUAUUCCUGUACUUCUGGUUACUGCGAUGGAGGGACGGAGAAGGCUAGGCCAGCUUGGCGUUGGUUGUCCAAGUUUAAGGUGGUAGGCUGAAAUCUUAGGUAAAUCCGGGGUUUCAAGGCCGAGAGCUGAUGACGAGUCGUCUUUUAGAUGACGAAGUGGUUGAUGCCAUGCUUCCAAGAAAAGCUUCUAAGCUUCAGGUAACCAGGAACCGUACCCCAAACCGACACAGGUGGUCGGGUAGAGAAUACCAAGGCGCUUGAGAGAACUCGGGUGAAGGAACUAGGCAAAAUGGCACCGUAACUUCGGGAGAAGGUGCGCCGGCUAGGGUGAAGGAUUUACUCCGUAAGCCCUGGCUGGUCGAAGAUACCAGGCCGCUGCGACUGUUUAUUAAAAACACAGCACUCUGCAAACACGAAAGUGGACGUAUAGGGUGUGACGCCUGCCCGGUGCCGGAAGGUUAAUUGAUGGGGUUAGCGCAAGCGAAGCUCUUGAUCGAAGCCCCGGUAAACGGCGGCCGUAACUAUAACGGUCCUAAGGUAGCGAAAUUCCUUGUCGGGUAAGUUCCGACCUGCACGAAUGGCGUAACGAUGGCGGCGCUGUCUCCACCCGAGACUCAGUGAAAUUGAAAUCGCUGUGAAGAUGCAGUGUAUCCGCGGCUAGACGGAGAGACCCCGUGAACCUUUACUGUAGCUUUGCACUGGACUUUGAGCCUGCUUGUGUAGGAUAGGUGGGAGGCUUUGAAGCGUGGACGCCAGUUCGCGUGGAGCCAUCCUUGAAAUACCACCCUGGCAUGCUUGAGGUUCUAACUCUGGUCCGUGAUCCGGAUCGAGGACAGUGUAUGGUGGGCAGUUUGACUGGGGCGGUCUCCUCCUAAAGAGUAACGGAGGAGUACGAAGGUGCGCUCAGACCGGUCGGAAAUCGGUCGUAGAGUAUAAAGGCAAAAGCGCGCUUGACUGCGAGACAGACACGUCGAGCAGGUACGAAAGUAGGUCUUAGUGAUCCGGUGGUUCUGUAUGGAAGGGCCAUCGCUCAACGGAUAAAAGGUACUCCGGGGAUAACAGGCUGAUACCGCCCAAGAGUUCAUAUCGACGGCGGUGUUUGGCACCUCGAUGUCGGCUCAUCACAUCCUGGGGCUGAAGCCGGUCCCAAGGGUAUGGCUGUUCGCCAUUUAAAGUGGUACGCGAGCUGGGUUUAGAACGUCGUGAGACAGUUCGGUCCCUAUCUGCCGUGGACGUUUGAGAUUUGAGAGGGGCUGCUCCUAGUACGAGAGGACCGGAGUGGACGAACCUCUGGUGUUCCGGUUGUCACGCCAGUGGCAUUGCCGGGUAGCUAUGUUCGGAAAAGAUAACCGCUGAAAGCAUCUAAGCGGGAAACUUGCCUCAAGAUGAGAUCUCACUGGGAACUUGAUUCCCCUGAAGGGCCGUCGAAGACUACGACGUUGAUAGGCUGGGUGUGUAAGCGUUGUGAGGCGUUGAGCUAACCAGUACUAAUUGCCCGUGAGGCUUGACCAU